This 451-nucleotide ribosomal RNA is filed under the name uncultured bacterium. RNAcentral describes it as "bacterial SSU rRNA". It matches the Rfam family "Bacterial small subunit ribosomal RNA", at positions 28 to 496 of the family's 1533-position model. The record is from RNAcentral.
GAUGAACGCUGGCGGCGUGCUUAACACGUGCAAGUCGAACGUGAGGGUGCAGCGAUGUGCCUGAAAGUGGCGAACGGGUGAGUAACACGUAGAUGACCUGCCCUGGAGUGGGGGAUAACCAUUGGAAACGGUGGCUAAUACCGCAUACAUCCGGAGAACUGGGAAGUUUUCUGGGGAAAGCUCUGGUGCUUCAGGAGGGUCUGCGUCCGAUUAGCUAGUUGGUGGGGUAAAGGCUCACCAAAGGCGACGAUCGGUAGCUGGUCUGAGAGGACGAUCAGCCACACGGGAACUGAGACACGGUCCCGACUCCUACGGGGGGCAGCAGUGAGGAAUAUUGGGCAAUGGGCGGAAGCCUGACCCAGCAACGCCGCGUGGAGGAAGACGGCCUUCGGGUUGUAAACGUACCUUUUGUACGGGAAGAGGAGAGGACGACCGUCGAAUAAGUACACGG